Long non-coding RNA from Cajanus cajan (pigeon pea), 1025 nucleotides. RefSeq lists it as uncharacterized. NCBI's taxonomy places the organism in Eukaryota, Viridiplantae, Streptophyta, Magnoliopsida, Fabales, Fabaceae. The record is from RefSeq and is a predicted model, not a curated record.
UUUUUCAUAUUUGAAGAUUCAAUAAAGCUUGUUCAAGAGAGAACACAUCUGGAGAACAAGGAGAAGGGAUCACCAGAGAAGAGGAAAAAUAUUAGAGUCAUACAUUGCAUCACUCCAGAUAACACAUAUGGAGAAAAAAGAGAAGGGAUCAGCAGAGAAGAAGAAGAUUAGACUCGUAUGUUGCAUCACUCCAAGUAAGGGGAGUGAAAACAUUCAUUUUAGGGGAUUGGGUGUAUGGAAGAAGGAUAAAGGGAUUGGUCCCUAAUCCCAUAAGUUUUCUGUUUAAUGAAAUGAUGUGUGUGUUUGAUGUGAUUGGUCAAGUAGAUUUUGAAUAUGUAAUUUAUUUGAUGAUCAUAUGCUUUAUAUUAAUUAAUUAAGUGCUCUGUAGAAAUGAGUUAGAACCCUAGAGGGAUUGACCCCCAAUCCCAUAAGUUUUCUGUUUGAUGAGAUGUUGUUUACGCUUGAUGUAAUUGUCGAGUAGAUUAUGAAUAUGUAAUGUAUUUGAUGAUUAGAUGUCUUAGAGUAAUUAAUUGAGUGUUCUUUAGAAAGGGGUUAGAACCCUAAGGGGAGAAAUUUGAUGAAUUCAAGGGGGGUAAAAGUUGUAAACGCUAAAAUUGGUGAAUUUCUUGGAUGUGGAAUGAGCCCUAAGUGUUUGUAAAUUGUAUGAUUGUUUGUAGUAAUGUUUAUUUUGAGAGAUAUUGUUUCGAUGCUGGUGAUUGGGUAAUGGAUCACGAGCGACACCAAGCUCGAGUACUUGAUGCUAGGCAUGUUGGCAUCAGGCAUGGAAAUGACCACGUCGAGCGUGAGAUGUUUUGGUGCUCUUUAUCGUAGCUUAAAGCCAGGUGCGGCCCAGGGAAGCAGAGCACGAGAAAGAGUAGGUGUUCUCUAUUGUAACUUAAAGUCGGGUGUGGGUUUUCAAACCCGGCGUGGAUUGCCAGGAGGCUUAUUAUGAUGGUUAUGACUGUUUAUAUGAUGAUGAAUGUAUAUACAUACUUCAUGAAUGAUGAUUUCUAUCUUGGUGGAUG